AUUGAACGCUGGCGGCAGGCCUAACACAUGCAAGUCGAGCGGAUGAAGGGAGCUUGCUCCUGGAUUCAGCGGCGGACGGGUGAGUGAUGCCUAGGAAUCUGCCUGGUAGUGGGGGAUAACGUCCGGAAACGGGCGCUAAUACCGCAUACGUCCUGAGGAAGAAAGUGGGGGAUCUUCGGACCUCACGCUAUCAGAUGAGCCUAGGUCGGAUUAGCUAGUUGGUGGGGUAAAGGCCUACCAAGGCGACGAUCCGUAACUGGUCUGAGAGGAUGAUCAGUCACACUGGAACUGAGACACGGUCCAGACUCCUACGGGAGGCAGCAGUGGGGAAUAUUGGACAAUGGGCGAAAGCCUGAUCCAGCCAUGCCGCGUGUGUGAAGAAGGUCUUCGGAUUGUAAAGCACUUUAAGUUGGGAGGAAGGGCAGUAAGUUAAUACCUUGCUGUUUUGACGUUACCAACAGAAUAAGCACCGGCUAACUUCGUG
This 484-nucleotide ribosomal RNA is filed under the name uncultured bacterium. Its description in RNAcentral is "partial 16S ribosomal RNA". It matches the Rfam family "Bacterial small subunit ribosomal RNA", at positions 30 to 507 of the family's 1533-position model. The record is from RNAcentral.